This 3493-nucleotide long non-coding RNA is filed under the name Sus scrofa (pig). Its description in RNAcentral is "lncRNA (ENSSSCG00005039411.1)". Lineage: Eukaryota; Metazoa; Chordata; Mammalia; Artiodactyla; Suidae. The record is from RNAcentral.
CUUUUUUUUUUUUUUUUUUUUUUUUUUUGGCUCUGUCCAUGGCAUGUGGAAGUUCCCGGGCCAGGGAUCAGACCCAAACCAUGGCAGGGACAAUGCCAGAUCCUUCUCUGCUGUGCCACAAGGCAACUCCCCAAGUUCAGUAUUUAUUCCUCUUACAGUUCUGUGUGUGAGGUGACUUCUGCCUAACCCUGCAUAUUGGUGAAUUCUGCUUAGUGUCAGGGCCCAAGGCAGUCUGGGAUUAAGACAGUCCUGCUGGCCUCAUUAUCUCGGGUCUAAAACAGUUACCCUGAGUCAUUUUAGUAGUUUACCUCUUCAGAUUGGUUAAUAUGAUGCAUCAGACUAUGUUGGGCACUUGGCCCCUUGCCUAUGACUACUUGUCUCAAGUUUCCACACCACAUUGGACAGCAAGCCAGAUUUGGAAAUUAGGCUUAUUUUUAUGGUGGGGUUUUUUGGGGGCGGGGAGGUGGGGUGGGAAGGACAGAUACAAGUGCCUUAUUUGUUUCCUAGCCAGAUUUUUGUUCCCCAUUCUUAAAGUCCCAUGGAGUAGCCAUCUACUAUCCUUUGGGCUUUGGAAUCUUCUCUGCGAGUGUUUUCACAGUAGCUAGGCUGUCUUUGUGUAUAGAUUCAGCACAGUUCUGCUAAAGCCAGAGAGUCAGACAGGUGUUAUUGGUAAAUUAAUACUUGAGUCAUGACUUAUUCUAUAUUUAUGUGUUUGUGUUUUUGUCUUUUUUUUUUUUUUUUUUUUUUUUUUUUUUUGAGGGCUGCCCCCUCGGCAUGUGGAGGUUCCCAGGCUAGGGGUCUAAUAGGAGCUGCAGCCACCGGCCUAUGCCACAGCCACAGCAACACCAGAUCUGAGCCACGUCUGCAACCUACACCACAGUUCAUGGCAAUGCCGGGUCCUUAACCCACUGAGCGAGGCCAAGGAUCGAACCUGCAACCUCAUGGUUCCUAGUCAGAUUCGUUUCUGCUGUGCCACGACGGGAACUCCUGUUUAUGUGUUUUUAAAAUAUACUUUAUAUAUGGGAAAAUGUACCUUUUAAAAACGUGGAGUCCUGGAUAUUGUGACAAACACGCUCAGCUGUUUGACCACCACUGCAGUCAUGAUAUGGGACAUCUCUGUUACCCCCAAGGUUUCUUUGUGCUCCUUGCAGCCAGCGCCUCCUCCCGCACCCCAAUCCUAGGCGGGCCAUCCAUCAGUUCCCCGUCCCUGCAACCACAAGGCCAUAGGGACGAAUUGUCCAGUAUGGAGCCUUUGGAGUCUGGCUGCUCUUGCUGGCUGUGGUGCCUGGGAGUCAUCCAUGUCACUGUGUUGUGCGUAGGGCAUUGUCUUUAUUGCUGAGAGGUACUCUGCCAGCGUGUACCAGAGUUUAUUUAUCCGUUCACCAACUGAAGGACAUUUGGAUUAUUCAGUGUUUGGUAGUGAUGGAUAAAGCCACGUAAACAUUUGCAUACACAUUUUUGUUUGAACAUAAUUUUUCAUUUCUCUUGCUGAAUUCCUGGUGGUGGGACUGCAUGCUAUGGUAAUGAAUGCUUCACUUUACAAGAAUCUGCCAAACUGUUUUCCGAGGGGGCCCUACCGUUUCGCAUUCCAAACAGCAAAUGUCUGAGUUUCAGUUACUUUGUGUCCUCACCAGUACUUGGUGUUAGCUCUUUUAAGUCAUGUUAAUAGCCAUGUACUGGACAGUCAUUUUAAUUUUUAUUAUUUUAUUUUAUUUUUAUUUUUUUGUCUUUUUGCCAUUUCUUGGGCCACUCCCGCGGCAUGGAGGUUCCAAGGCUAGGGGUCAAAUCGGAACUGUAGCCACCAACCUACACCAGAGCCACAGCAAUGCGGGAUCUGAGCCACAUCUGCAACCUACACCACAGCUCAUGGCAACUCCGGAUCCUCAACCCACUAAGCAAGGCCAGGGAUCAAACCCGCAACCUCAUGGUUCCUAGUCGGAUUCGUUAACCACUGAGCCACGAUGGGAACUCCUGGACAGUCAUCUUGAGUGACAGUCAUCAUACUAGUAAUGACAAUAGAAGCACAGCAGGCAUUGGUACAGGUAGUAAUAGUAGUUCUCACUUAGACGGUAGCUACUCUGAGCCAAGGACUGUUCUAAGUUCUCCUACUGUAUUCACUCGUGAGUAAUACUCAGAACUCCUGAGAUAGGUGCUCUGAUCAUUGUCGGGAUUUUACAGAGAUGGGGAAACGGAGCCACUGUCCAAGGUCACACGGGUAAUGAGUGGCGGAGCUCGGAUUUAUUUAAGCCCAGGCAGAACACUGACCGUAGAGACUGUGUUCUCAACUUUCUGUUCUAAGCCUCUCACCACACUACGUUCUCCUGACUGUAAAACAGGGCAGGAAGACAGCUGUGAAGAAAAGGUGAAAACAUUUUAAAGUCAAGCUACCACAGCCACAGCAACACCGGAUCCAAGCCAUGUCUUCGAUAGGCCACAGCUCAUGGCAGCGCUGGAUCAUUAACCCACUAAGGGAAGCCAGGGAUCAAAUCCACAUCCUUAUGGAAACUAGUCGGAUUUAUUACCACUGAGCCACAAUGGGAACACCUCCUGUCUGUUUUUUUAAAGAGACCGUUCAAUAUAUUGAGUCUAUAUUUAUGUGUAAAGACAGUAUUUAUAAAGUUAGUAUCAUACACUUUGCUUUCUGAUUUUUUUUUACUUAAUUUUCCUGUUUUCCUCUGUCAUUCAGUAUACUUUGAAAAUAAACUUUCUGACAUUUGAAUAAUGUGUCAUCAUUUGCAUGUGCUCUUAUAUAUGUGUGUCUAUAUAUACACAUACACACACAUAGGCACACAUAUGUACAUACGUGCACAUAUUUGGGGUAGAGUUCUCAGUAGAUUGUUACUUUCUAAUUACUGUUGAAUGCCUGAGGGUAGCUUGUGAGUCUGUGCUAACAUGUGCAGUAGUCCUCCGAUCUCCAACACCCUCUGUGGGUGCCUGACACCACAUACAGUGUCAAACCCUGUAUGUCCCUGGGGCGGGUUGCAGUGCUUUCUCCCCACCCCUGUCACCUGUCCCAUCGGAGUCUGGGUAACUUUACAACCAGCCCUCUGUAUUCAGGUUUCCACAUCUGCAGAUUCAACCACCUGGGGAUUUCGUAGGACUAUAGUAUGUGUUUAUUGGAAAAAAUCUGCCUCUAAGUGGACUUGCGCAGUUCAAACCCCUGUUGUUCAAGGGCCACCUGUGCUGCUUUUUUCUUUACUGAUGGAUGGAUGGUGUAUGCAGCUUGGAUAUGCUGGACAGUGGGAUGAUUCAUGUCCAGGGUGGGUGGGUGUGAGAUUCCAUCAGCUCUUCAGAAUGGUGGUCAAUUUAAAACUUAGGACUUGCUUAUUUCUGAAAUUUUCCAUUUGGUAUUUUCAGACCACGGUAACUCAGGAAAGUGAAACCAGGGAUAAAGGGGGACUACUGUGUAUGUUUGUUGCUAGACAUAGUUUCUGCCCUCAAGGAACUCACAGUCUGGUUUGGAGAUAGAUACAUUUAAAAAAAAAAAAAAAAA